CAUUCAAAGAGUGCGUAAUAGCUCACUGGUCGAGCGUCUUUGCGCGGAGAAUUUAACGGGGCUAAACCUGACACCGAAGCUUAGGCAAUACAGCAAUGUAUUGGGUAGGGGAGCGUUGUAUACGCGGAGAAACAGUAGCGCAAGCGGCUGUGGAGUGUAUAGAAGUGAGAAUGCCGGAAUGAGUAGCGCGAAUGCAGUGAGAAUCUGCAUGGCCGAAAGCCUCAGGUUUCUGGAGGAAGGUUCGUCCGCUCCAGGUUAGUCGGGAGCUAAGGUGAGGCCGAAAGGCGUAGCCGAUGCACAGACGGUAGAGAUUCCGUCACCACCAAAAGAGUUAAGCACAGGGACACAUUUGAAGUCUCAGAGCCGGGUGUUGGUUCCGGUAGAGAUCGAGGGAAAUUAGUACCGAAGUCUGAGAUGGAAGAUGGCGAGAAAAGCUGUGUGUAUUUCUGAGGUGCCCGUACCGCAAACCGACACAGGUAGGUAGGAAGAAGAUUCUAAGGCCAACGGGAGAAGGGUUGUUAAGGAACUCGGCAAAUUGACCCCGUAACUUCGGGAGAAGGGGUGCUCCAGAGAUGGAGCCGCAGAGAAUCGGCCCAAGCAACUGUUUACCAAAAACACAGGUUUGUGCUAAAUCGAAAGAUGACGUAUACGAGCUGACGCCUGCCCGGUGCUGGAAGGUUAAAAGGAGAUGUGCAAGCAUUGAAUUGAAGCCCCAGUGAACGGCGGCCGUAACUAUAACGGUCCUAAGGUAGCGAAAUUCCUUGUCAGGUAAGUUCUGACCCGCACGAAAGGCGUAAUGAUUUGGGCACUGUCUCAACAGCCCGCCCGGCGAAAUUGUAGUACCGGUGAAGAUGCCGGUUACCCGCGACAAGACGGAAAGACCCCAUGGAGCUUUACUGUAGCCUAAUAUUGGGUUUCGAUGUUGCAUGCACAGGAUAGAUGGGACACAGGGAAACAAUCGCUUUGGCGGUUGCGGAGUGGCCGUUGGGAUACCAUCCUUGCGAUAUUGGAAUUCUAACCUGCGGCUCUGAAUCGAGUCGGGGGACAUUGUUAGGUGGGCAGUUUGACUGGGGCGGUCGCCUCCUAAAAAGUAACGGAGGCGUUCAAAGGUUCGCUCAGCUUGAACGGAAAUCAAGCAAAAGAGUGCAAACGCAGAAGCGAGCCUAACUGCGAGACUGACGGGUCGAGCAGUAACGAAAGUUGGAGUUAGUGAUCCGGUGGUAUGUGAGUGGAAAUGCCAUCGCUCAACGGAUAAAAGUUACCCUGGGGAUAACAGGCUGAUCUCCCCCAAGAGUCCACAUCGACGGGGAGGUUUGGCACCUCGAUGUCGGCUCAUCGCAUCCUGGGGCUGUAUUCGGUCCCAAGGGUUUGGCUGUUCGCCAAUUAAAGCGGUACGCGAGCUGGGUUCAGAACGUCGUGAGACAGUUCGGUCCCUAUCUGUCGUGGGCGCAGGAUAUUUGA
Molecule: ribosomal RNA, 1461 nt
Filed under: human gut metagenome
Description: bacterial LSU rRNA
Rfam family: Bacterial large subunit ribosomal RNA
Source: RNAcentral